CUGGGCCAUUAACUGGGAGGAAGGGGGACUCAGGCUUGACCGAGACAUUUGGGUAAAAUGUGAGGUCCAAAUUCACCCAAACCAAUAAGCAGAGCUUGCACUGCCCCUCUGUCCACAGCAACUGGCCUUCCCUUGAUUUCCGGGACAGACAGAAUGGCUGUUCUCAUUGCCAGUAAGUUAAAAUAGAAUUCCAAAGGAUUCAAAUAAUGCAAAAAGAAGAGAGAAAAGGUGAAGAGAAAUGAAACUCAAGGGGAAGGCAGACACUCAGCUUUUACAGCGGCAUGCUUAGACCCAGCCGUUCUAGCAGCUGUGCAGGCAUGAGCGGGCAAGGCCUUCCAGGGUGUUACCGGACGGACGGCUUUGAAUAAAGCAGGUGGCCUUUCCUAGUGGGCGGGGCCUCUCCCAGGCCGCUGUAGGCCUGAGCAGAGAAAAUGCCCCGCAUGCAGCGUCUCCCUGGUCUCCAGCUCGGAGUCACCUGCAAAUCUCAGACUCUCCAGACCCCAAGCCGUGGAGAUGGUUCCUUCGGUAAAUCUUUUUCCUUAUACGUGUGUGUGUGUGUGUGUGUGUGUGUGUGUGUGUGUGUGUGUGUGUGUGUAUCUGACCGACGCGGACCCAUGAGAGAGACCCCAGCACUACAGCAAACCCACGGGAGACAUGAAAACUGGCUCGGCCCAUAGGGCUAAGAGCUGAACAGGCCCCAGUCAGGGCAUGCGCCCCUCCCUACGUCAGACGCUUUCUGCUUGUGCGCAGGCGUGUGUCUGUGCGUGGUGCUCAGUGUAGAGCUCCGGGCACCCACCACUAAACUACACCCCUGCAGUCCUCCUUUUUAUUUUUUAUCUUGGGACAGGAUCUCCCUAAGUUGCUCAGAUGGGCUGGGACUUCCGAUCCUCCUGCCUCUGCCUCCCUCGGUGCUGGGAUUACAAGCGUGUGCCAUGCUGCCUGGCAAAAGUUUCUUGACGAAUGAGGCUAUCGGUACUCAGCUCUCUCAAUAUAAGGCUCCUCUGAUGACCGAGUGCCUAAAACUCGAGAACACUCUUUCCAACUCCAAUUAACUUACAAAUGUAUAUGAGCUUCACUUUUAAAGAUUAUAAUGAUUUACUGUUCUGACCCCAGACCGACAGAUAAAAACUUCACCUACGUGUUGGAAAUCUCUUAUCUUCCAGGAAAAAGUCACUCAACUGCCGAGUGGAGGUGGGUAGAUUACUCUGGGUCCGAAGUCCUUUGAUCCAGGCUCUGUUACCUUGUUUUGGAGCACAUAGGAUUUCAGCUCAUACAGUAUUAAAAUGGGCUGAUUUUCAGAGCUGAUGGUAACAGGCUGUACGGAAACAGCUCGGGGCGAUGAUGCUGUCGCCUGUCUUAGGGAGAGUUGCUCGGGGCCCCUCAACCCUCUUUUCUGCAGUUGUUUUCGCCUGGAUUCUUCCGUCUGGCUCCCCAGUUCCAUGGUGCUAGUUAGGAGCCCUGCUCCGCUGUGUCGCUUGGUGCUCAGCAGGGCCACCGCUUCUGUAAAUGCUUGCACUUCUAAAGUAAUUUUGAAAGCCCUUGGAAUAGACUGCAGGUGGCUUUUCUCUGUGGGAUGACGUACUUAAGGGACUCAGAUUCCCUGCAGAGGUCCUUGCCUCUCCUGCUGUCCCUCCUGUCCCCCGUGCCCUCUCCUUCGUGGUUUAUCCAGAGCCAGGGCACAGUGGAGACAGACCGAGUCGUCUGGUAGAUUCGGCACCACUGCUGCAGGAAGACGAGGAGGAGAAGGCCGGGAGUGCUCUGAGUUCAGCUCACUGGGCGUCAGGCUCUGAGACUGGACGGGGCACGAGAUCCAGGGGCGGGGGCAGUGCUAAGCAGGCCCUCCGUGGCCCAGCGCGCCACCCCCCACCAGGCAUGUACGUGGGUCUGCGUGUCCCUUCUGUGACACUGCCAUACCCACCUUGGGCAUCACUGCUGCCUCUGCACAGAUUACAACGGUGCACGUCGGGCAUUCACAGCAUGCCAUGGCUGUCUGUCCUCUGCUUCACAGCCGAGGACACUGGCUGAGGGUCAGGGAGCCGAGGCAGGCAGAGCCUGCUCAGCACUGCGACCUCCAGUGCUCCAGUGCCACUCUCGUCGCAGGCUCGGUGACUCCAAAUGUUUUGCUAACACUGGCACAGGCCUCCAGCCCUUCAGUCCCACAGAGCGAGCGGAGGGAGGCUCCCAAGGAGAGAUCAGAUAAGGCAUCUGAAAGAAAGAAGUUAAUUAGUUUUCCGGAUGAUUAGAGAGCUUAUUCCUCUUUUGCUUGAAGGAACGCUUUGCCUGAGUUAAUAAAGCGAAGGUGGGCGCCUCUUGCAUGGCAAAACCUUCAGCCCCAGCCCUUUGACAGCCAGAGUGGCCAGGGAGGGCUCAAAAGGCGAUUGAAUAAUGCUCUUCCCCGCCCUGGGCAUUGUACUUGGUGACUGAGUCGAAGCACAC
Long non-coding RNA from Heterocephalus glaber (naked mole-rat), 2436 nucleotides. NCBI's taxonomy places the organism in Eukaryota, Metazoa, Chordata, Mammalia, Rodentia, Bathyergidae. The record is from Ensembl.